GAUGAACGCUGGCGGCGUGCUUAACACAUGCAAGUCGAACGGAGUGAAUAAAAUGGAAGUUUCGGAUGGAAGUUUACUUACUUAGUGGCGGACGGGUGAGUAACGCGUGGGUAACCUGCCGUAUACAGGGGGAUAACACUUAGAAAUAGGUGCUAAUACCGCAUAAGCGCACAGCUUUGCAUGAAGCAGUGUGAAAAGCCGAGACGGUAUACGAUGGACCCGCGUCUGAUUAGCUGGUUGGUGGGGGUAGAGGCCUACCAAGGCGACGAUCAGUAGCCGGCCUGAGAGGGUGACCGGCCACAUUGGGACUGAGACACGGCCCAAACUCCUACGGGAGGCAGCAGUGGGGAAUAUUGCACAAUGGGGGAAACCCUGAUGCAGCGACGCCGCGUGAGUGAAGAAGUAUUUCGGUAUGUAAAGCUCUAUCAGCAGGGAAGAAAAUGACGGUACCUGACUAAGAAGCCCCGGCUAACUACGUG
This 479-nucleotide ribosomal RNA is filed under the name uncultured bacterium. Its description in RNAcentral is "bacterial SSU rRNA". It matches the Rfam family "Bacterial small subunit ribosomal RNA", at positions 28 to 507 of the family's 1533-position model. The record is from RNAcentral.